UACGUAGGCAGCGAGCGUUGUUCGGAGUUACUGGGCGUAAAGGGUGUGUAGGCGGUUGUUUAAGUUUGGUGUGAAAUCUCCCGGCUCAACUGGGAGGGUGCGCCGAAUACUGAAUGACUUGGAGUGCGGGAGAGGUGAGUGGAAUUCCUGGUGUAGCGGUGAAAUGCGUAGAUAUCAGGAGGAACACCGGUGGUGUAGGCGGCUCACUGGACCGUAACUGACGCUGAGACACGAAAGCGUGGGUAGCAAACAGG
Molecule: ribosomal RNA, 254 nt
Filed under: uncultured bacterium
Lineage: Bacteria
Description: partial 16S ribosomal RNA
Rfam family: Bacterial small subunit ribosomal RNA
Source: RNAcentral